Molecule: transfer RNA, 75 nt
Filed under: Sphingomonadaceae bacterium
Lineage: Bacteria; Pseudomonadati; Pseudomonadota; Alphaproteobacteria; Sphingomonadales; Sphingomonadaceae
Also listed under: 1 other name
Description: tRNA-Asn
Rfam family: tRNA
About the family: Transfer RNA (tRNA) molecules are approximately 80 nucleotides in length. Their secondary structure includes four short double-helical elements and three loops (D, anti-codon, and T loops).
Source: RNAcentral
UCCUCGAUAGCUCAGCGGUAGAGCAUCCGACUGUUAAUCGGACGGUCGUAGGUUCGAAUCCUACUCGAGGAGCCA